UGCCUUUAUGUGUUGCCCUUUCAUUGCUUCGUUAGUGAUUGGGGUGUCAAGUAAGGCAUACAGUGACGGUUGUGGCCGUUUGUGACAUGAGCUUCAAGUGACUCUUCUACACAAACGGCUGCAACGACACAC
Small nucleolar RNA from Astatotilapia calliptera (eastern happy), 132 nucleotides. Ensembl annotates it as small nucleolar RNA SNORA13. NCBI's taxonomy places the organism in Eukaryota, Metazoa, Chordata, Actinopteri, Cichliformes, Cichlidae. The record is from Ensembl.